GGGAAGCGUGGCCUUGAAUGAGAGAAGGAAGCAAGGGCUCCAAGGAAAGGCCUGAGUGUCCCCAGUUCAGCGCCACUGUCUCCCCACCUCCCAGCAUCUUCCCUCCUGGGGAAGGGGCCUGCGGCUCCUCCUGGAGUCCCGGAUUCUGUUGGACACCAUAUUCUGAGACUUGAGGGGUUCCUGCCAAGUCUCUGAUGGGAGGAAUAUUCCAUCAGCGGAACAUGAGGGUCAAGGUUCCCAUGAAGAGGUUAAUACAUUGAAGGAAGCUCCGUAACAGAUAGAGUGGAGGUUCCAGAAUGCCUGGUAGAAGAAGGAGCUUCAGCAAAACCUUUGGCCAACAGUCAAGGUGCCAGAUGUCACUUCCAAACGUGAACCAGCAGCUCCCUCACAAUCGCAUCGUAACAGGCGUCUCCUAAGAUGACCACCCCCACAGACCGCAUCUCAGAUCCCCAAGAUACCUGGCCUUUCCUACUGGGCAAGGGUCAGGCUUGGGGUCGGAGAGGCCCAUUAAACCCUGCCUAAGGACUUUCCUGGUGGAGACAGGAGACAGCCAGCAUGGCCACAGUCAAGGUGGGGAAGAGAGGCCCCACCCACU
Molecule: long non-coding RNA, 595 nt
Organism: Bos taurus (domestic cattle)
Lineage: Eukaryota; Metazoa; Chordata; Mammalia; Artiodactyla; Bovidae
Source: Ensembl